This 199-nucleotide long non-coding RNA is filed under the name Solanum tuberosum (potato). Its description in RNAcentral is "long non-coding RNA (STUB_LNC008904)". The record is from RNAcentral. Lineage: Eukaryota; Viridiplantae; Streptophyta; Magnoliopsida; Solanales; Solanaceae.
CCGAUUCCCCCCUUAAUUAUGCUUAUCGCUUAUGGUCAUUUUAUUUGCUUCCGCGACCAAGGAUGUGUAAUGAUACGCUAUGAGGCUUGUUUGGGGUUCCUUCGGGUUCCCCAUUCGCCGGUCACGUCUAGGCCCUAGGCUUGGGUCGUGACAAUUAUGGUAUUAUUUUAUAGUAGGAAAAAUCAAUGAAAGUGUCUUA